RNAcentral lists this ribosomal RNA (396 nucleotides) under Triticum aestivum (bread wheat). Its description in RNAcentral is "partial small subunit ribosomal RNA". The record is from RNAcentral. Lineage: Eukaryota; Viridiplantae; Streptophyta; Magnoliopsida; Poales; Poaceae.
AUGAGACCAGAAGAGCGCUCCCGGCAGUUCGUGGUGGGACCGCGCAACCUGGCGUGGUGGCGGCGGCCGGACGGCGCCGUGGUUGUUAGUUGGAGACUUGGAGUACUCUGCUAUUUCGCACCCUUUUCCUUUUCUGUUUGUUUUCUUCGCCCUUUUUCCGUUGGUGUCGAAAAGAGCCUUCGGCGUGAGCAAGCAGCCUCCUUUUCUUGUGUAUUAUCAUCAUCUUUGUUCUUUUCUGUGGCUGCCGUUUGUGCAAUUUCUGAGUUCCUGAUGGCUGGCGACAGCGAUGCUCAGCAUGGGGAAAACUCAGGUAGCUGCCGCCGGUUGCUCUCAACAAGAUGGCCCUGCGAUCAUAUUUUUACAUUUCAUCUUUGUACCGUACCGCGAAUACAAUAA